GACGAACGCUGGCGGCGUGCUUAACACAUGCAAGUCGAACGGUAAGGCCCUUCGGGGUACACGAGUGGCGAACGGGUGAGUAACACGUGGGUGAUCUGCCCUGCACUUCGGGAUAAGCCUGGGAAACUGGGUCUAAUACCGGAUAGGACUUCUGGCUUCAUGGUUGGGGGUGGAAAGCUUUUGCGGGGUGGGAUGGGCCCGCGGCCUAUCAGCUUGUUGGUGGGGUAAUGGCCUACCAAGGCGACGAGGGGUAGCCGGCCUGAGAGGGUGAAUGGUCACACUGGAAUUGCGAGACGGCCCAGACACCGACGGGAGGGAGCAGUGGGGAAUAUUGCACAAUGGGCGCAAGCCUGAUGCAGCGACGCCGCAUGAGGGAUGACGGCCUUCGGGUUGUAAACCUCUUUCAGCUAUGACGAAGCGCAAGUGACGGUAGUAGCAGAAGAAGGACCGGCCAACUACGUGCCAGCCGCCGCCGUAA
This 478-nucleotide ribosomal RNA is filed under the name uncultured bacterium. RNAcentral describes it as "partial 16S ribosomal RNA". It matches the Rfam family "Bacterial small subunit ribosomal RNA", at positions 28 to 523 of the family's 1533-position model. The record is from RNAcentral.